AUACGGGGGGGCAAGCGUUGUUCGGAAUUACUGGGCGUAAAGGGCGCGUAGGCGGCUGAGCAGGUCCGGUGUGAAAUCCCUCGGCUCAACUGAGGAAUUGCGCUGGAAACCGCUUGGCUCGAGUACAGGAGAGGAGGGCGGAAUUCCCGGUGUAGCGGUGAAAUGCGUAGAUAUCGGGAAGAACACCGGUGGCGAAGGCGGCUCUCUGGACUGUAACUGACGCUGAGGCGCGAAAGCGUGGGGAGC
RNAcentral lists this ribosomal RNA (246 nucleotides) under uncultured bacterium. Its description in RNAcentral is "partial 16S ribosomal RNA". It matches the Rfam family "Bacterial small subunit ribosomal RNA", at positions 523 to 769 of the family's 1533-position model. The record is from RNAcentral.